CCUAAUAUGUUUGAUAUUUUAUCUCACAAUUGUUGUUUAUUUUCUUUCAUCUUUAUUUUUACAGAUCUUUUCCAGGCUACUUUAAACCAGCACUUGCUCAUGGAAAAAAGAGAUGUUUGACACCUAAAGUUUACAUAAAUAAAACCGGCAAGACUUUAUCAUUUCGUUUUUAUUUACUCGCCAAAAACAUCUCCUACACACUGUUACCAACAGAGGAACUUGAACUCCUUCAAAGACAAACUGUGUGUCUCCCAGAGGACUCUAAUCACUCGGAGAUUUCAAAGUUACUGGUUGAAGCAUUCCCAAAAAUGGCAGAUCUUUGUGGAGGAUGGCUUUUGCAUAAAUCAGCAGGGGGCAAUGGUCUACGAAAGCUCAUUUUAAUUCCACCCGAAGCAGAAGGAUAUACUGCCAAAGCCCUCAAAGCUCAAUCAGGUGGUGGAAAAACCACUUUAUACAUCAUUCCUCUUCAAGAAACUUUAGACACUUCUCCUUUGCCUCUUGACUCACAACAUUUUUCAAAGAUGCCAAAGACAACUUGUUACCAGUGUAAUGAAGUGAUGCCUCUCCAGAUGCUUGCAGUGCACAUUCAAACAUGCAUUGGCAAAUCUGUUUCAGAUGAGACGGAUGAGGAUGAGGAUUCUGACUUGUGCAUUGUAGAGAACGAAUGUAAGGUGGUGUGUCCAAUUUGCUCCAAGAACUUUUCUGAGCAAGACAUUGCAGUGCAUGCUGGUCUGUGUGGAGAGAGAUGAGAUUUGUCUUUCCCCUUCAUGCAUGUAGAACAGAAGAUGUGUUGCAUCACCUUGAGCAACAGGUCAACAUGAAUAUGGAAUUCCAACUGUGUGUGGACAGAGAGGGGCUUCCAGACAGAGGCAUUCUGCAAUGGCAAAGAAAAAAAUCUUCAUCUCCUGCUGGUACACUGAAGGUUGUGUACAUUGGGGAGGCAGGAGUGGAUACAGGAGCAGUGAAAAGAGAAUUUUUGACAGAUAUGAUUUCAGGUUGUUAUGGUGCCUGUCAGUCUCCUCCCCCUCCUGCUCUGCUCCUGACUCCACCAGCUGGGACCAAUUCACCUCGUCACUGCUUCUGCUUUUAAGGAGUUCCAGACCCAUUAGCCAAUGCCAGUUUGUUGCCCUUUAUGGAUUCCAGCCUCCAAGUGUUCCCAGUGUGGAUGUCAGUCCGAGUCCUCCUACAGUACGGUGGAAACCUCAAGCUCUGCCAAGCUGCGCUCUUACCUCCAGCCACGCCACAGGCCGCUGUCCUCUCCAGCUGCCCUCCAAGCCACACCAACUUUCCUGGAAGGAAAAAAAUAAAACUCUUUACUUACCGUUCACCUCCUUGUCCUCAUUCUGGGUUUCAGCGUCUGGGUCUGUCAAUCCUUCAAGUCAUGACACAGGUAUUGAGAACAGGUUCUUUGAAGGAGUUGAAGGCCAGGGUAAAAACCCCAAGUACUCACUGACAGACCUUGACAAUGAAUAUUUCAGGACUGUUGGUGAAAUAAUUGCGGUCAGCCUAGCCCAAGGUGGGCCAGCUCCAGCGUUCCUGAAAGAGUGGUGCUAUGGAUUCAUUUGUACUGGAGACAUGGAUCUCUGCUCUUUGUCAAAGCAAGAUGUGACAGACCAAGAAUCGUCUCUCCUCAUCACCAAAGUAGGAAUCUGGUAGCAUGUCAGAACUUUUACAAUAUUCCCCCUAAGUUUUGAUUAAGAAUUGAACAUUUUCUAUAGUCUCAAAAAUGUUUAUUUAUCAAGAUUUUUAAUAUUUUGGAAAAAAAGUUAAGAAGGGAGUUUGCUAACAGAUCAUUUUAGUCUGACUCACAUGAUCAAAGAUCCAACUAGGAUAAAAACCUGUUCACAAACAAGAAUAUAUCUUUUUUCUUCUUCAAAGUAUGCCAGAAAGAAAAACAUACAUUUUUAACUGGUUUCAAAUCACAAAGCCAUUUUUAUUUCCAAAAAACUUAC
Long non-coding RNA from Oryzias latipes (Japanese medaka), 1952 nucleotides. RefSeq lists it as uncharacterized. The record is from RefSeq and is a predicted model, not a curated record. NCBI's taxonomy places the organism in Eukaryota, Metazoa, Chordata, Actinopteri, Beloniformes, Adrianichthyidae.